AAUCUUUUAAUUCAAUUCAGUUCUUCCAAACGUACAAACUGUAUUAUGUAGAUUAAAACAGUCUCAAGGACUUGUACACUCAGUAGUCUUAAUUAAACCUAUCGUUCGGUUGGGUGUAAAAUGUGCGUGUUAUAUUUCUGUGUAUUUGCACUAUUUUAUAUCAACGUCACCGCACAUAUUAAUUCUUUAAAUGCAGUGUUAUUUAAUGGUGACUAUGAAUUUAUAGAUCUUAGCUAUCCUUUCGAUGCAAAUACGAUAUAUUGGCCUCAAGCACAAAAGUUUCAAUUUACGAAGCAAAUUAUAAACGAAGGCGUUAACUGGUACUCUUCUAAAGAAUUUGUUGCUUCCGAACAUGGAGGUACUCACUUGGAUGCACCAUAUCAUUUCUAUGAACAAGGAAACUUUGUGGGAAACAUUCCUCUUAAAGACUUAAUUGUUCCGCUUAUAAUUGCUGACGUUAGUUCCCUGGUUAACGAUGAUCCAAAUUUUGUACUUUAUAAACAUCAUUUAGAUUUUAUGAUUAAUGACAAUUUUGGUAAACCAUGUUUAAUUGUGUUCAAAUUUGGAUGGAGCAAGUUUGUAAAUGACAAACAAAAGUAUCUUGGACUGGGGCCUAACAAUACAUUAAAUUUCCCUGGCCUGAGUAGUGAAGUUAUGGAUUGGAUAACAACUUCAUACAAAAAUGUAGUUGGGGUUGGCGUUGAUACUUCUUCUGUAGAUCCUGGAGCAUCAAAAGAUCUUCCUGUACACAAAUUAGGAUCGAAAGCAGGGUUGUACAAUAUAGAAAAUGUUAAUUUAUCAAGACCUAUACCAGAAUAUGGUUGCACCGCUCUCGUUAUGCCAAUGAAAAUUGCCCAAGGUAGUGGAGCACCUGUUAGAUUUGUAGCGAUUUGUCCAAAACAAGUACAAACUGAAUUUUAAACGAUUUGAUUUAAUAUUACAUAUACUAUUAAUAAACACGUAAAUCAACUCCUAUAUGUCUUACAUGUGUUACGUAGGUAUUAGCGAAUGCUGUCAAACAACCUUUAAUACUAUUUCAGUAUUUAAAGCAUAUAAUACAAUUAUAAAAAGAAAGGAGAUUCUCGAAAUAGCCACAGAAUUCUACAAAAAAUUAUAUAUGAAGCUGCCGGAACCAUCAAAUAACUGAAAGAAGUUCUCUGUUAGCGUUUAGUGACGAAAAAGAUGCAAUAAUAAUGGCUGACCGUGGAUUCAAUUGUGUCAUAGCAUAACAUAAUUAAUUAAUAUUAAAGAAGGAAUUGUAAAAUAAACGUCCAAAGUAA
RNA transcript from Pieris napi, 1280 nucleotides. It is a transcript of the gene named kynurenine formamidase-like, with no coding region annotated. The transcript has 6 exons. Lineage: Eukaryota; Metazoa; Arthropoda; Insecta; Lepidoptera; Pieridae. The record is from RefSeq and is a predicted model, not a curated record.